This 459-nucleotide ribosomal RNA is filed under the name uncultured bacterium. Its description in RNAcentral is "partial 16S ribosomal RNA". It matches the Rfam family "Bacterial small subunit ribosomal RNA", at positions 338 to 795 of the family's 1533-position model. The record is from RNAcentral.
CCUACGGGGGCAGCAGUGAGGAAUAUUGGUCAAUGGGCGGGAGCCUGAACCAGCCAAGUCGCGUGAGGGACGACGGUCCUAUGGAUUGUAAACCUCUUUUGUCGGGGAACAAAAGCGCCCACGGGUGGGCGGAUGAGUGUACCCGAAGAAAAAGCAUCGGCUAACUCCGUGCCAGCAGCCGGGGAAAUACGGAAGGUGCGGACGUUAUCCGGAUUUAUUGGGUUUAAAGGGAGCGGAGGCGGCAUGUCAAGCGUGCUGGGAAAUGUACGGGCUCAACCCGGGCCUUGCAGCGCGAACUGGCGUGCUGGAGUGCGCGGAAAGCAGGCGGAAUUCGUCGUGUAGCGGUGAAAUGCUUAGAUAUGACGAAGAACCCCGAUUGCGAAGGCAGCUUGCUGCAGCGGAACUGACGCGGAUGCUCGAAAGCGCGGGUAUCGAACAGGAUUAGAUACCCCAGUAGUC